This 434-nucleotide unclassified non-coding RNA is filed under the name soil metagenome. RNAcentral describes it as "partial contains 5.8S ribosomal RNA, internal transcribed spacer 2, and large subunit ribosomal RNA". The stretch from base 1 to 121 matches the Rfam family "5.8S ribosomal RNA", at positions 35 to 154 of the family's 154-position model. The record is from RNAcentral.
GAUGAAGGAACGCAGCGAAAUGCGAUACGUAAUGUGAAUUGCAGAAUUCAGUGAAUCAUCGAAUCUUUGAACGCAUAUUGCGCUCUCUGGUAUUCCGGAGAGCAUGCUUGUUUGAGUAUCAGUAAACACCUCAACUUCCAUAUCUUUUUUUGAAAUGGGAGUUGGACUUGAGUGAUCCCAACGCUUUUCCUCACCGAAAAGUGGCGGGUUACUUGAAAUGCAGGUGCAGCUGGACUUUUCUCUGAGCUAUAAGCAUAUCUAUUUAGUCUGCCUAAAAAACAGAUUAUUACCUUUGCUGCAGCUAACAUAAAGGAGAUUAGUUCUUGUGCUGACUGAUGCAGGAUUCACAAAGACAGCUUCGGCCGACUUUGUAAACUCGAUCUCAAAUCAAGUAAGACUACCCGCUGAACUUAAGCAUAUCAAUAAGCGGAGGA